UUCAUCUUCUUCUUCCUCACACUACAAGCAUGCCCACCACAGAAGCUCUCUCUCUCUUUUGCCGGAAAUCGUCUGACCCACGUCAGCAGUCAUCACCGAGAAUCUCCAGUGCCACUGUUGCUCGGCCCGUUCAUUCGCCAACUCCCAGAAUGCACCUCCAAGUGCAACGCUGUAGAUCCGUGGCUUUAGUUUCUUGAACCACCACCUCAAGCCCAGAUGCCACAUAUCUGGUUGGUCAUCGUUGACUCCACUGCUUUCCUCCGAUCGUCAGUCGACACCACCAUCACUUCCUCUUACUGGAAUAUAUUUGUUUGUGGUUGGAUUGGAGUUUUUGGAAGGAGUUUAAGCUGUCCAAUUGGUUCGAGAUAGGUAUAGGCAAGAUUUUGAUUGCGUCGAAGGUUCAAGCCAUCGUCCGUCAAAAUUAAGGUUUGAUUUUGGUGCUAGAGUUAUUGAGUCGUGUUGAUUUUGAAGCUUUAAGGUGAUUUUAGAUCAAGCCAUACUUUGGGUAAGCAUUUAUUUGAAACUUUUUGGUUAAUUUUGUGAAUUGGAAUUUGGCCCAAAGUUUGAAUUAAACUCGAUUUAUAAUUUUAGAGUCUGAUUCAAGAUCUUAUUAGGAAAAGGGGAAAUAAGCUUUCUUGAACUUAUUUGGGCUCUAAUUUUAAAAUAAGUAUCUUACUACCGGUUUGCCUAUGAGGCAAGUGCCUUGACUAAAUUGUUGAUGUGAAGAUUGAGCAUAUAUCGAGAAAACAUGCUAUUGAAUGUUAUGGAAUGAUUUACUAUGUUUCAAUGAUGCAAGGACGAUGUGGACAUUCUGGUAAUCUAUGAGCUAUGUUAUUAUGAACAUGAUACAAGAUCUUAUUUUUGCAUUUUACAUGUUGGAUAUGAUGGCUAUGAUAUUAUGAUUAUGAUUUAUGGAAUGCGGCCUAUUGGUUGUCUAAUGCAUGCUAGAGUAGAUGGUGACUGUUAGCUUCCCUAUCAGGUUGAGUAUAUCUUAGGCUUGUGAACCUUCGAGUUCAAUACUUAUGAAUGAUUCGGUGUUCCUCAAGGUCACCACCUAUUCCAUAAUUUGUAUUCCUUCAGGAUCACUACUUAUGCUAUGGUUUGUAUUCCCUCAGGAUCACUAUCUAUGUUAUGAUUUGUGGACCUUCGAGUUUGUCUAUGCUCAUGUUUGUGGCUAUGUUAUGUUAUGUACACUUAUGCCCGGAUAAGAAGACUAACAAGUUCACCUAGUGGGCCUAGUAAUGGAAGGACAAGACGACGAAUGAUAAGAAGAAUCCAUGACCGAGUCUAGAGGACUAGACUGACGCUUCCACAUAUGUUUUCUUUCAUGUCUUUCAUGUUUUAGUUUAAAACAAACAUUUAAAUUCUUUGAUUGUUUUUAAUUAGUCAUUUACUUAAUUUAUUUUAACUUGUUUUAGGGGUACCUAAGUAAAGACUUUCUUUUGCGGUUUAUGAACAUUUAUCUGGUUGAAAUUCUA
Benincasa hispida (wax gourd) is the source of this 1478-nucleotide non-coding RNA. The record is from RefSeq and is a predicted model, not a curated record. Lineage: Eukaryota; Viridiplantae; Streptophyta; Magnoliopsida; Cucurbitales; Cucurbitaceae.